CGAGGAAUUUUGCACAAUCGACGCAAGUCGGAUGCAGCAACGCCGCGUGGGGGAAGAAGGCUCUCGAGUUGUAAACCCCUUUUGUGAGGGAAGAAGAUCUGACGGUACCUCACGAAUAAGUCACGGCUAACUACGUGCCAGCAGCCGCGGUAAUACGUAGGUGGCGAACGUUGUCCGGAUUUACUGGGCGUAAAGCGCGCGCAGGCGGACUGGUAAGUCAGAGGUGAAAUCUCCCGGCUCAACUGGGAGGGGCCCUUUGAUACUGCCAGUCUUGAGAUGCCUAGAGGAGAGUGGAAUUCCCGGUGUAGUGGUGGAAUGCGUAGAUAUCGGGAGGAACACCAGUGGCGAAAGCGGCUCUCUGGGGGCGAUCUGACGCUGAGGCGCGAAAGCGUGGGGAGCAAACCGGAUUAGAUACCCGGGUAGUCCACGCCGUAAACGAUGAGUACUAGCUGUAUGGGGUAUCGACUCCCUGUGUAGCGAAGCUAACGCGAUAAGU
This 496-nucleotide ribosomal RNA is filed under the name uncultured bacterium. RNAcentral describes it as "bacterial SSU rRNA". It matches the Rfam family "Bacterial small subunit ribosomal RNA", at positions 355 to 865 of the family's 1533-position model. The record is from RNAcentral.